CCUACGGGUGGCAGCAGUAGGGAAUUUUGCGCAAUGGGCGAAAGCCUGACGCAGCAACGCCGCGUGAUCGAGACGCCCUUCGGGGUGUAAAGAUCUGUCAGUGGGGACGAAACUUGACGGUACCAAAAGAGGAAGAACCGGCUAAUCCCGGCCAAGAGGCCGCGGAAAUAAAGGGGGUGCAGGCGUUGCCCGGAUUCAUUGGGCGUAAAGAGUUCGUAGGCGGCACGUAAAGUCUGGUGUUAAAGGCAGGGGCUCAACUUCUGUACGGCACUGGAUACUUGCGAGCUAGAAUGCGGUAGAGGUAAAGGGAAUUCCUGGUGUAGCGGUGAAAUGCUUAGAUAUCAGGAGGAACAUCGGUGGCGUAAGCGCUUUACUGGGCCGUAAUUGACGCUGAGGAACGAAAGCCAGGGUAGCAAAUGGGAUUAGAUACCCCUGUAGUC
This 440-nucleotide ribosomal RNA is filed under the name uncultured bacterium. RNAcentral's name for it is "partial 16S ribosomal RNA". It matches the Rfam family "Bacterial small subunit ribosomal RNA", at positions 338 to 795 of the family's 1533-position model. The record is from RNAcentral.